AUCCAGAUGGCGGGCGUCCCAAAUAGGACGAAAUGCGCAUCCUGGAU
This 47-nucleotide non-coding RNA is filed under the name Trichobilharzia regenti. The record is from RNAcentral. Lineage: Eukaryota; Metazoa; Platyhelminthes; Trematoda; Strigeidida; Schistosomatidae.